Molecule: ribosomal RNA, 568 nt
Filed under: Elachistocleis bicolor (two-colored oval frog)
Lineage: Eukaryota; Metazoa; Chordata; Amphibia; Anura; Microhylidae
Description: partial 16S ribosomal RNA
Rfam family: Bacterial large subunit ribosomal RNA
Source: RNAcentral
AAAAACAUCGCCUUCUGCAGAAAAUAGAAGGUCUAGCCUGCCCAGUGACCAAGUUAAACGGCCGCGGUACCCUAACCGUGCGAAGGUAGCGCAAUCACUUGUUCUUUAAAUGAGGACUAGUAUGAACGGCAUCACGAGGGUUACACUGUCUCCCACCUCUAAUCAGUGAAACUGAUUCCCCCGUGAAGAAGCGGGGAUAAACUUAUAAGACGAGAAGACCCCAUGGAGCUUUAAACUCAGUACCAAUCACCUAUUACUACACCACAAUAACCCGGUGGUUCUGACUACUGGUUUUAGGUUGGGGUGACCACGGAGCAUAAUAAAACCUCCAUGUUGAAAAACUUCCUUAAUCCAAGAGUGACAACUCUAAGAAUCAAAAAUUGACAUACAUUGACCCAAAUAUUUUGAUCAACGAACCAAGUUACCCUGGGGAUAACAGCGCAAUCCAUUUCAAGAGCUCCUAUCGACAAAUGGGUUUACGACCUCGAUGUUGGAUCAGGGUAUCCCAGUGGUGCAGCCGCUACUAAAGGUUCGUUUGUUCAACGAUUAAAACCCUACGUGAUCUGAG